AAACUAAAGUUUUCCCAUACAUCAGAACUGCUAUUAUUAUAUGUAUAUAAUAUUUGUGUAUAAUAAAUUAAACUACUACUGGAUACAUCGCAAUCACAAUCCCUUGUAAUCAUUCACUUAAUUGGCAAUUACGCUGUCAAUAGAUUAAAGUAUUUAUAAAAAAUGACCAAAAUAUUUUCCCGCAACAUUAUUCGGGUGGGCUUUAGUUUAGCAUCCCACGAUUUCAGGGUUAGGAGGGGUAUGGUUGGAUAGAGGAGAUUCUCCAGAUCACGAAUAUUAUUGCCCUAUUAUGGUCCUUUUCGCUGCUGUUUGUGCAGAAAGGAGUUUGACGCAAUUGAAUUAUGAACACCUCGGUUUUUGACCGACCAGGGUUAUUUUUUUGAAGCGGGCCGAAGGCCGCCAGUGCGGAAAGGAGUUCGACGAUCUCCGAUAUUCAUUCAUUCCAUAAAAAUGCGGCACUUUUGACUAUUACAUUUUUUCAGUAUAUUUUUUUCAUAAGAAAAUGUUUAACACACUGAACUGGUAAUUACAGCUAAGAGAUCAGAAUUCCACAGAAUUUUGCCGCUACAACAACAACAACAACUAAGUGACAUGAAUAUGUGAUAUGUGCAAAGUGUGUAAAUAAAUAUUGAAAAAUAUACAUAAAUUAUUGAAAAAAUUCACUUUCCGCUCACGGAUUUGUAAUCUACAUAACUUUUUUUUAAGGGGUGGCCGACGGGUAAUUCCUUCGAAUUCAUAAAAAGGACACUUAAUUAUGUCACCCCUUACAACCCCAACCCCCUACGAAGUGGGGGCCAUUAAGUACAUAUUUACCAAAUAAAUUAACAUCUAAUAUAUAAAAUUCUAGUGUCCACGGUGUUUGCUAUCGAACUCCUCUGAAACGGCUGGACCAAUUUUGAAGAAAUUUGGGUGCUUUCCGGGUCUACAAGAUGGCAGUCGAAUAUAAAAAUUGUAGUAUACUAUAAGUAUAAUUUUCAUAUAUAGAUCUAUGAACCAAUCAGCUAUCCCCACCAUGUGCCUCCCGCUGUCCCUUUUCAACCAGAAAACAUCACGAAUUACGGAUAAAAAGAAGUCGACUUAUUUAAUUUUCAUUAAGUCAAGUUCAUUUUAUUCUCACAGUGAAUUUAACAUUAUUUCUAAGUACAUUUUUAAAAAUAGCCAACGCGGAUUUUCCACGAACGAAACAGCGCAUGAUCGUGCUAUAAAUAUAAAAUGGGCUAAAACAUGGGCUCAAUCGAAAAGUUAAGGAACAUAUUCCUAAUCACAGUCUCGCACCUAAAUGUAUCACUUCUCCAUGUGCAAUAAACAAAAACAAUAUACAUCGAACACAACUUAUAUGCAUCGGUAGGUUAAUAAAAAUACAUCGUAACAUAUACGAGAGAGUACGAGUAUUUAUCAGCAGCAGUUGUUACAACAAUAUGCCUUGUGGCACAAACAGUCACCGACGCAAAACCAUGGAUCGAAUCAGCUGAUACGGCCUAUCUUUUGAGAGCGCAUUGUAAAUGAACAGUCACCACCGCUUUUACCGUCCGCUUCAACUUCGAUAUUUUGUAGUAAUUAAAAAAUGAACUUGAAUAUAUUUGAAAUAUUCUUAAAAUAACACAAAAUCACAGUCGAAUACAUUUAUUUAUAAAUAUGUAGACUAUUUUUAAUAGUUGGAUUUUAGUUAUAAGCUUUUACAUUAUGAAAAACUAUAACUAAAAAACUAAAUGUGUGUAAAAUCGUGUAUACAAAUAGAACAAUGGCAACAUUGGUGAAAUGAAAACAAAAGAGAACAACUGAUUUCUGCGUUGCAACUACGGGCAUAACUUUUGACAAAUUUGAUUUGAUACAGGCGGUAAGUACGGAAGGGAGGAAUGUCGGUAACUGUUUGUGGUAUUAUCGAGAAAUGCGACGGACAAACAUUGUAACAAUAGAAAUGCAAUAAUUGUGUGUGUAAGCAUGUCAAUAUGUAAUAUGAUUUAUGUAAUAUGAUCUAGUAAACUGAAUUAGUAAUAAGUACACACACAUACAUUUAGUAAUAAAUACACACAUUUUAGUAUAAA
Bactrocera oleae (olive fruit fly) is the source of this 2045-nucleotide non-coding RNA. The record is from RefSeq and is a predicted model, not a curated record. NCBI's taxonomy places the organism in Eukaryota, Metazoa, Arthropoda, Insecta, Diptera, Tephritidae.